RNAcentral lists this unclassified non-coding RNA (353 nucleotides) under soil metagenome. Its description in RNAcentral is "partial contains 5.8S ribosomal RNA, internal transcribed spacer 2, and large subunit ribosomal RNA". The stretch from base 1 to 120 matches the Rfam family "5.8S ribosomal RNA", at positions 35 to 154 of the family's 154-position model. The record is from RNAcentral.
GAUGAAGAACGUAGCGAAAUGCGAUAAGUAAUGUGAAUUGCAGAAUUCAGUGAAUCAUCGAAUCUUUGAACGCACAUUGCGCCCGCCAGUAUUCUGGCGGGCAUGCCUGUCCGAGCGUCAUUUCAACCCUCGAACCCCUCCGGGGGGUCGGCGUUGGGGAUCGGCCCUUUCACCGGGUGCCGGCCCCUAAAUACAGUGGCGGUCUCGCCGCAGCCUCUCAUGCGCAGUAGUUUGCACACUCGCACCGGGAGCGCGGCGCGUCCUCGUCCGUAAAACACCCCAAACUUCUGAAAUGUUGACCUCGGAUCAGGUAGGAAUACCCGCUGAACUUAAGCAUAUCAAUAAGCGGAGGA